ACUGGACAGGUGGUUUUAAUUUUCUAGACCUCUGAGAGAGAGAUGGGAGAACAGUCAGGGAAUAUAAAUAUCACUAAGGUAUUAAUUUAACAUGAUUGUUUUGGUUGAUUUUCUUGUAAAUAAGUAAGGAUAAUUUACUGGCUCAGAACAAAUAGAUUCAAAGUAUUUAGACUGUUUGAAAGGUUAGACUGAUUAGCAGGACAAGAAUACAUCUUAAAAUAAUAAUUUUCCUUUGCACUUUUUCUUUCUUAGAAUUUUUACUUUAAAAAAUAUUUUUUCCAAAGACAAACAUCAUGCUGAAGUACCUUUUGUUACACUACCUGAAGUUCUGGAGACCUCCAUUUUAAUGGAAGUUUCUCUGAAGCGAUACCUAAGUAGUACAACUGUUACAGAAUUACUAGUGCCUAGUUAAAAGAAAUGCUGUACUGUGUUUUGAAUAUCCCAGCCUCAGAUAACCUUUGAAAUUCCUGGUCAGUCAUAGUCUUGUUAGAGGUGGAGCUGGUAGCCCUGGAGUGAAUUAUUUCUAAUGAAGAUUUGUGUGAAUACAGGGCUAGGUGGUGGAGCAGGGCCUUGGUAAGCGCUGUCACAAGAAAAUGCAGUGAAAGUUCUCAGUGUGGCAAACUUCUGUGUAGAGAAAAAGGCUGUGAAUUUAAAGGAUUUUUUAGAGAAUGCAAAAUUAGCUUCUCUGAAAUGUUCUUCAAAACAUUCUUUAGUUGAUUUCUAGUGGAAAGGUGUUUAUGCAGUGGUGACCACUUGAAAUCAAUGGAUAGUUGAUGCUUUGAAACUUAUUACUAUAUAGAGUAAUAUAGCCAGAAUAAUAUCUAACAUUCUUUUGAAAAUAAUAAUGAAAAAGAACCUGCAUUUUCACAAAUGAAGGCCACACACUAGAACAUAGAUAAAUGAAGAACUUUUCCAAAGUCUGAAAACAAAUAACUUUGGGAGUUGUUUGCAUUAUGAAACAGCAGUUAAGUAGUGCCUUUGUUUAAAAAAAAAUAAAAAAUAAAAAAUUUAGAUAAGUUUAGAUCCGUUUCUGAAUCAUUUUCCCAUUCAAAGUCUCUUCAGCUUGGAACGGACAGUAAAAAUCUGGAAAUUGAAACAAAACAUUUUAGAAUGAUCACGAGUAAAUAUUUGUAUUAUUUUGAAUAAUUUCCCUCUUGUUAUUUUGGUUCAUGGUCAUUUUUGAGAUUUCAGCUUUUUGUGGCUUUUGAUGGUAGGGAAAAAUAAAACUCUUACUCAGUGAGCUCAGGAAAAAUAUUUUAUGUUCAGUACUUUGAAUACAUCUGUAUUUAUAUAUUUUAAAAGUGUUUAUUUGAAAAUAAAAUUUUUAGAAAAACUGAAUAGGUUUGUUACUCUGCAGUGUAAAAUUAUUCAGAUAAAGAGGUGAAGGUUUGUAUCUUUGAAAAUCAUGUUCCAUUCUGAGUGCCUAAAACUGAACUGAAAUUUUGGCAGGUGGAUUUGAAAAUUGCAUAUAUAUUGUGUAAAUUGAAAUCAUUUUCUUCUCUGAGAUGAGAAAAAGACAAGAAAAUAUGAAAGAAUAAUGAUAUUUAGUGAAACUUUACUAUGACCCAUCCUUACAAAAUUUCUGUUCUUCAGUUUUCGUAUAUAAGGGAGAAAAGAACCUUUGUAAAAACUAUUGCCAGCACACAAAACCAAAAUCAACUUUUGACCCUGCUCAAGCAAGACAGAAGUGCUAAGCAGUUAUUUAUGACAUUAUCUAGUAUUACAGUUCAAACAAUGACAUAUACAAAAUGGUAGAGAAAUUCUUCAAAUUUAAGAAAGGUUCCUGAUAUUAUUAUCCAUUUUUUCUAAGCUGAUCUGGUUCUGUUUGUCAUACUACCUAUUGCCCUAGGUGUUUUGUUUAAAUAUUAAUCUAUUAUUAAAUAUUAAUCCAGAGCAAAAUUGCAAACUGAAGCACACAUUUGAUCAGUGACUCUGCAAAUACCUGCAUUUAAUCGUGUUUGAAUGUACAUUCAGCGUUUAACUGCUCUUCUGUUGGCUUAAUCUCCAUUUUCACCUGCAUUAUUCCCCGUUUUUUUUCUGAAUAAAUUAUUUCGUGUAAUUACUUAAUGACAACCUCCUUUUUUCAAAGAUCCUGUUUGGCCUUGAUGUACAAUCCUAGAUACUUUGACUAUCACCACAGCUUGGACAAGAUUAUCAGUUUAUCAGUGAUAUAACUGUGUAAUGCCAGAUCUGAAUUAAUCCCUUUAGUGAAAUAUUCUCCUGCUUAAUAGGAGCAAUUAAAUGUCUUUCCUGGUAAAAUGAAGAUUAUGUGGCUUUCUAACAUGAAAAAAAUCCCAGAAAAACUGCUUUUUGAAGAACUUUUCCAUAGGGAUGACCAAGAACGACUGACUUGUAAGAAGAACUGGCUUCAGUAGUUCAAAGAAGAUGUAGUCCAGGAAAAAAGAAGAAAAAACUUCUUGCUAAGGAAGAUUGACAAGUCCUGUUGCUUGUGCUUUCUGACCUAUGGAAAUUCUACAUAGUGACAUGCUGGUUUUGACAGCUGUUGAAAAUGGCUGCAUGAGUAAACCAGAACAGGCGGUUCUUUGCUGGCACAAGGCUGGAUGGAAAUGACAGAGUAGAUUCUCUCCUGUUGAGAGACAGCAGGGACAAUGCAAGGAAAAUCAAGCUAAUAAAGAGCUCUAAAGUUUGCUGGGCCUACGCCUGGCAAAGAAGCCAGCACAGUCAUUUGUUUGGGCCAUCUGCUCUUGGACGGAUAAAAAGAGCUCAUCAGAAAUGAGCACCAGAAAAUUGUUUUGCAAGUAAUUUUGGCUCCCCUAAGUAUACUAAAAGCAAAGAUCCUUAAGGAAAAUUAAGUCAUCUACCUUUCCAGGUUAAAAAUCUUGCCUUUAUUUUGUUUUUAAAGUAUCUUCACUGCUAUAGAUUGCCAAUAUAUGCACCAGACAAAACGUUAAAGUAGCACCAAAUAUUACUCGUCUAUUUUGCCGAGAAGCAGUUAUGGCAAGUAAACAAAAUAUGAUUAAUUGGUAUCAUUUCUUGACAGGAGCAUUAAAUGGAUUUGCAAACUUCAGAAAUCACACUAGUAGGCUGGCAAAUAAUCUUGAAUGUUUUGCAGUGUAGAAUUUACUGGAAAAAGAAGGCCAAGAGUGCACUUAGGAGUUCUAACAUAGGGGUCCAGAUGAUAUAGAAAAUUUACUGAAUCAUAGAAUCAUAGAAUUAGCAAGGUUGGAAAAGAUCUACAAGAUCAUCCAGUCCAAAUUUGAAAUUUGUUUGUAUUUGGCAUGUCUCUUAUUUGGAAAAUGUUUGAUUUGUUUAAUAUGGAAGUAAGAGAGAACUGGAAAAAAUUCAGUCAUCACAAUCCAUGUGUUACAAAAGAUCAGUAAUAGUUUCUGGUAUUAAUGUGUUUCACAACUAAGUUGUUGAUGUGUUGUACCCUUGAGAGAGCUGAAAGAGGUUUCUUCACUUCCAUCCACAGAGUAACAGGGAGAAACUUCUGUAAGGCUCUUUGCAAAAGUGCAAAGUGAAAUAGUAAGAGCAGAGAAUUUCACACCACCGUUCCUUGUCUUCCCCUCAACUGGCAAAACAGUGUGGUUACACAUUGAAGAAAGCCAUGUGUGACAGACUUCCUUUUAGAGACAAUGAGUUUCUCCUUCACAGGUUACCACUGUUGACUGUCUCCCUCCACACCUUAAACAGUUAUGAAAGAGAAGUUGUGAUGAGAGUUAAUUAAUAGGACCAUAUCUGAGUAAUGUGCUAUUCCUACAUUUGAAAAUGGAGUAUAUAGUAAGAAGAUUGAUGUUGUCUGAUGAUCACAAAGUUUAACUGACGGAGUAGAGGAUUGUCUACAAAGUUCUGGAAUUAAUACAGAAAGAAGAAAGAAAAAGGCACCUAUGGUAUUGCUUUAUCUUUAUAGUAAAGCUUCUUGAACUGUUUUUAUAUUUUGUUUUGAAAGUUUUCAUGUUCAUCAGUUCUCUUGAAGGAAUUUGGUGCUUUUUACUCAUUAUUUUCUUGUUUGAUACUUUCUUUCUCUCAAUCUUCUUCAUGUUUCCAGUCAUAAAUUUCUCUCAGAAAAGGAAUAAAAGCUUUUUACACUGUAUUGCCUCACGUUGCAAGAAGCACAGAGGCAAGUAAGCCCUACCAUUUUUUUUUUGUCCUAAUUCCUCCUGUUUCAACAGGAAUAAACCUGUCAUAUUCCACAUGUGUGAUAACAUCAAUAACACAAGGUUCAGUUAAGGUGUAUUUGCAGUUUGAGUUAUCUCUACCUCUGUAAUGAGUUAUGUCCUCUCAUUCAGGCAGGAGGGAAACACAUGUUUUUCUUUUCUUUAAAAUGACACAUUAAUUUUGAAGCUUGUUAAUUGGGAUGAUCUUUAUAAUAAAGUCAGAUGUGUCCUACUUUUAUCAUACUGUUAACAUUCCCUAUGAAAAAUUUAUAAUGUUGUGAGUCUAUAAUAUUCCAAGGCAAGCAUUGUUUCCCUAGCAUGACUAAGGACUCUAUAGGAUAUCUUUCUGCAGCAGUUUUAUAAGCUUCACUAACCAAACCUGCAAAUUCACAUCUAGUACUGCUGGGUGAUUUUGCAGUACUACUGCAGUGCACACAUCUUGCUCAGAAUAUUGUAGAAGGCAUUAUUGUUGGUAUUUCAGAUACAAGUGCCUGUUCUGAUUUAUUCAUCUGUUGCUGAUCAUUGUAUCUGGAAAAAAUAUCUGAAAGUAAAUGAAAGCUUUCUUUUAGCUCUGGUAAUUUAUCUUGAAGUCCCUACAAGAUACUACCUCAUGGCAGACUUUGUCCAGUCACUACUAAGUGUAUGUGAAUAUUUCUGGAAAGAAAAAAGAUAAUAAUUUAGAAAGGUCAUGCAUGUUGUGAGGAGAUCAUAAUUGUACUUUAAAAGCAACCCUGAGCAGACAUGGGUAACUAACAUCAGAGGCUUGUAUUGUUACAUCUUCCAGGAUCAUUAUGUGAUGUUCUAAUGCAUAAGAUAACCUAGCCAGGUAGCUGCUUAUUCAACUCACUGUCAAGUCUUCCUUCUUAAUUUUUUUUUCUAACAUCUCUGACCCUCACUGCCUAUUCUCUGGUUAGAGGUAAAUUAGCAGCUGUGUCUUGCACUGCUAUGUAUAUGAAAAACAGGUAAGCACUAUAUAUACAAUACUACGUAUGAUAGCUUAAAACAGUAUAUAAAAUAAAUAUAAUAAUUCUCCUUCACACUGAGAACCAGGUGAACGAUAGGAGAAAAUGUAAGGAGCGCUUUGAGAAGGAAAAAUAAUGAAAUUACAGUGAAUUCACAUGAUAAAAUUGGAGGUUGUCUUGUAAAAUGCAAUUUUAAGAGAGAAAAAGCUCAGGAAUUAAAGCUUUGAAAGAAAUUCAUAUAUUUAAUUUUAUUUAAAUGCUAUUUCAUGAGGAAUCUAGUUAAUACUAAUUAUGAAAGUAGAUUUCUUUUUCAUUAAUUAACAAGUGUACAAUUAUUAUUUUUAUUUUAACAUAGUUACCUAAUAUUGAUAUGAUAACCUUUCUUGCUAUGAAAUGAAGUUGUAAGAUUAAUAUGUAUACAGUACUAAAACACAAUUAUCACUAAUGUGCUAAUUUAUUCAGCCUAUUUAGGGAAUAAUAGUUAAUUAAACAGUCUUUAAAAUUCCUCUGUAAGCCGAUAAAUGUUAAAAAUUCAAUUUUUUGUACAUAUAUAGAGAAAGAAAUAGUAGAUGAUACUGUCUGUUGAGUUCUAAAAAUGAAACUGAGACCCUACUAGAAAUCUCUUUGCUUCAUGACAUAUCUGUAAAGUUACAUCCAAUUAAAGAGAGCUGAAUUAAAAAAAGAAACAAGCACACCAGAAAAGAACAGACUAAUUGGGCUAUGUUUUUUUACAGGUGGUUGACCUUCACUUUUCCCAUCUCUAACAACAAACUGAAAGACAACCUGUGAGGAGAAUCAUCAGUUCACGCUGUCAUUGCCAUCAGUUCCUGGAAAUCGUGUGGAGCCACAGUCCACUGUGUUGGAGUGACUGGACUGCUGCAGCCAUGGAUUGUUAGGAUGUAGAGAAAGAUUAUCUGUAUUACUUCUUCGUAACCAAUAAGACUUUACAGAACUGGCAAUUAUCCUAUCCCUGCACAAAGUGUUUCUGUUUGCCUCAACGCUUGGAUCACUGAAUCCCAAAUGUGCAGUAGGUUUCUGACUUUGUCUGGAGCAAUGACAUAGAUGGCCGUAGAUGUUUCUCAGCACUGGGGCCUGCUUUCCUCAGCCAAACUCACCUUAACAUCACAGAAAAUUGGCAGAAAACACAGGGUCCCACAGAUGUAUGUCAUAUGGCUAGGACCUAGGUGCCACACAGCGGUGCUCUUGACUCCAUGUUGCUCAAAGGCCUGUGCUGGCUGGAGGGAGUUAAAGCAGCAAGCCUACCAGAACUGGCUUUGGAAGGAGGGCUAAGACUCAGCUCUGCAAAGAAGGUGAACCAUCCAGUGGGAUGAGGCAUUUUCUUGCCCGACUGAUCUACUAAGUCAGAUAUGGAAAGAAUCACAGAAAUGAAGGGACCUCAAGAGAGCAUUGAGUCCAAACUCCUGCUAAAGCAGAAGAUUCAUCCCGGUUCAUAUCUCAGCAUCCUCCCGGAAUCAGGGACAGAUACAUUUCUCUGGGUCAGUCAUGAAUAUGAAGAGAAGUAAGGCAGAUGGAGAGGAGAUGCACCUUCUCCAUGUAAGGAGAGGACCACACAAAAUUAAGAACAGCCAUGGUGGACCCAGGUAGGAACCCCAUUCUUGGGGGCAGUCAGCAGUGGCACUGGCCUAAUGUCAGUUGAAAUAUCCCUUUUUCUCUCAAGAAAAGCUCUGUAUCUAGUGUACAUCUUCACCUGUAUCAAGGCUAUGGCUCAGUGAAAUCACCAAGAAUGAUUUAAUUGACUUUUGUGUACUUUUAAUCUAAUCCUCUGAACUGUAGCAUUCUGAUAGCCAAUGUUUAGCCUUAUUCAUUUAGGAGUUCAGUUCACCUCUCACUGAGAAUUUCUGAAAGCCUUACUGAAAAAUGGAUUGGGCAUUUAGCUAUUUAUGAGAAUCUUGCUUUUAAACUGUGAGAAGAUAUCUUUUUAAUUAAUCCUCACAGAAAACAAUUGAAUGCUUGACCUACAAGGAUAAUUACUUGUGUUCUGCUUUGAUUACUUUGUAAAAGUUUUAUUGGAUUUAUAUAGUGUACUGCAUAAUAUGUGAUCUAAAAUUGGAGCUCUUUACUACAGCAUGGAGUGGAGCUUUAUACUGCAGCAUAAACUUUAUAGAAUUGACAACCAUGUUGUCUAUAUAAAAACAUCAUUCUGUAAUUAGUCUUAUUAGUAUAAUUUUUUAGGGAAUAUCUGUCGUGUCUUUUGUGUUUUUUUUGUACAUACAAAUCUUUCAUUAAACCAUAAACUGACUA
Molecule: long non-coding RNA, 7342 nt
Organism: Numida meleagris (helmeted guineafowl)
Lineage: Eukaryota; Metazoa; Chordata; Aves; Galliformes; Numididae
Exons: 7
Source: RefSeq, a predicted model, not a curated record